Molecule: long non-coding RNA, 746 nt
Organism: Papaver somniferum (opium poppy)
Lineage: Eukaryota; Viridiplantae; Streptophyta; Magnoliopsida; Ranunculales; Papaveraceae
Exons: 2
Source: RefSeq, a predicted model, not a curated record
CAAAGAAAAUCAUAAAAAGAAUGAACUACUAUAAUUAAUUUUCUUGGCCGUCUAGAUCUAUGUUCCUCUUCGUUUUAUGCACGUCACUAACGUUCUAAGAACAACUUUACAGCAACUGAAGCAAAGAUUUGACAACAAUCACAACUUGAUUCAGAAAUUUAAAAUAUGAUCUGUCGGUGAUGGUGGCGGCGCUGGUGUUAACGGUGGCAGUUGUGACAGUCGAAGUGGUGAUGGUGGUGAUUGGUUAGGGGAGAGAUUGCUCAUGAUUUCAUUUAGUAUGGCGUGUUUGUUGGUGGUUACGGCGGUGUGAUAGUGUUGGUGGCGAAGGAAUAACGGAGAGUUAAUUUGGUUGAUUGAUAGUGUCGGAAGCAAAAUUGAAUUGAGCAAAGAAAACUGAAGUAUUUUUCUCAGAUCUAAUAAUAUUUAAUUUCUUACUAACGUAUCCUUCAAUAUUUGUGGUAUUACGAUGACCCAGGUAGAAAACUCAAAAACACGGAGGGGCAAUCACAUCAUUUGGUUUAGUUCAUUAGUUUGUAUUGCCCCUACAUUUGUAAACAUUCACAUAAGUUUAAGAGAGGAGAAACAUCAUGGAGGGACAGUGUUUCCUUUUUAAAUGGGACACCAAAGUUUUAGUAGACACCAAACAAACCAUUUUCGCUUAUAUUAUAGACUAGGGUUUAACCCAUGCCAUAAUGGCACGGGCCGGUGUUAUAUAAAUUAUGGAAUAAAAGUAGUUUUUAGUUGAA